RNAcentral lists this unclassified non-coding RNA (386 nucleotides) under fungal sp. RNAcentral describes it as "partial internal transcribed spacer region". The stretch from base 1 to 46 matches the Rfam family "Eukaryotic small subunit ribosomal RNA", at positions 1786 to 1831 of the family's 1831-position model. The record is from RNAcentral. Lineage: Eukaryota; Fungi.
AAGUCGUAACAAGGUUUCCGUAGGUGAACCUGCGGAAGGAUCAUUAACACGUUAUCCACGUAUCACCAUGAGAACCGUUAUUUACUCCCUCUGUUUCAGAAUGAGCAGCAGCAAGAUAGAUUGGAUGGAAGGGUCAGCUUCGCGGCGCCAGUGGUCUAUUUGCUAUUCGUUUCCGCAAGGAUUCGUACUGUUGUAUUUGAUUCGUGGAGGUCCCUCUCGGCGAACAGCUCUCCUUCCACGAGAUGCGCGCUGGGAAACUUAUUAACAAUUCUAACCCCUUUUUGCUAGUUGACUUUUAUAUGUUGUUCUUUGCCUCGGCAAGGUUCACACGUUUAAUUAUUUGAACGUUAAAAAUACAACUCUUAGCAAUGGAUAUCUAGGUUCUC